GCACUGCUGAAGAGUCCCAUAAUAGGACGAAACGGCUUUCCAGUGC
RNAcentral lists this non-coding RNA (46 nucleotides) under Schistosoma margrebowiei. The record is from RNAcentral. Lineage: Eukaryota; Metazoa; Platyhelminthes; Trematoda; Strigeidida; Schistosomatidae.